This 472-nucleotide ribosomal RNA is filed under the name uncultured Anaerolineaceae bacterium. RNAcentral's name for it is "bacterial SSU rRNA". It matches the Rfam family "Bacterial small subunit ribosomal RNA", at positions 897 to 1382 of the family's 1533-position model. Lineage: Bacteria; Bacillati; Chloroflexota; Anaerolineae; Anaerolineales; Anaerolineaceae. The record is from RNAcentral.
AAACUCAAAUGAAUUGACGGGACCCGCACAAGCAGCGGAGCGUGUGGUUUAAUUCGAUGCUACACGAAGAACCUUACCAGGGUUUGACAUGCAAGUGGUAGGAAACUGAAAAGGGACCGACCCUUCGGGGAGCUUGCACAGGUGCUGCAUGGCUGUCGUCAGCUCGUGUCGUGAGAUGUUCGGUUAAGUCCGCUAACGAGCGCAACCCUCACUGUGUGUUAUAUGUGUCACACGGGACUGCCGGUUUUAAGCCGGAGGAAGGUGGGGAUGACGUCAAGUCAGCAUGGCCUUUAUAUCCUGGGCUACACACACGCUACAAUGGUCGGUACAAUAGGUUGCCAAGCCGCGAGGCGGAGCCAAUCCAAAAAAGCCGGCCUCAGUUCAGAUUGUAGGCUGCAACUCGCCUGCAUGAAGAUGGAGUUGCUAGUAACCGCAGGUCAGCAAUACUGCGGUGAAUACGUUCCCGGGCCUU